Molecule: non-coding RNA, 299 nt
Organism: Salvelinus sp. IW2-2015
Lineage: Eukaryota; Metazoa; Chordata; Actinopteri; Salmoniformes; Salmonidae
Source: RefSeq, a predicted model, not a curated record
GAUCCAGCUAAGCAGCACAGGACCACACACAGUCUUACUGAGGAUAGGAAGCCUGAUCUGCUGCUAAUAAAAUAAGACACCAUACAAGAUGGAUCAGAGAGCAUUGAUCUGCUGAGUGGACUAAAGAUGGGGGCGCAAGGUGGUUGGCUGGAGGCUAACAGAGGAGACUGGGCGGCCAUCUUGGAUUCCCAUAGAUGGGGAGGACAUCACUGAGCAUGCCAGGACCAGCGGCGACAUAGUGGAGGUCAGUGGAUUGGACAGUGUCUUCAACUCUGGGCUGGGGAACAACACUGUUAACU